Molecule: long non-coding RNA, 2600 nt
Filed under: Sus scrofa (pig)
Lineage: Eukaryota; Metazoa; Chordata; Mammalia; Artiodactyla; Suidae
Description: lncRNA (ENSSSCG00060008688.1)
Source: RNAcentral
AGUACAUUGUACAAAAUUUGACUAUGAUUCAUAACAGUGGUAACAGUAAAAAUUUCAAAUGGGUAAAUGAAUAAAAACAGCUCUUUAAUACCAUGGUGUAUUUCUGUGUGACAUUAGACAUUUAACUUGAGUUUUUACAAUGGGUUUACCUAAAUGCUCACGUUUCCUCUACAACCAGUGUACCUUUAAAUGUUACCAAACCUGCUGGCAGUUGCCUAAGUUCUGCCGACUUUAAAGUUCUCAGUUUGGAUGUCUGCAUCUCUCCACUAAAAGGGAAGGUCACACCUAGAAAUUUUGGCUCUUAUUAUGGGACCUGAUGCAUCAAUACUUGUUAACUAGUAAUUCAUAGUCUAUAAAUCAACAUCCCAUCAUGUCUUAUAAAGUUUACUCAUUAAAUAUUACAAAAUAUAAUAUUAAAAGUAUGACUCAUUUGAAGAGAGUAGAAUUUUGCAUCUAUUUCUAUUACAUUGAAUAAGAAAGAAAGCAAGCAAGAAAAGAGAAGAGAGAGAAGGAGGAGAGAGGGAGGAAAGAACUUUUGUACUAGUUUCUACUUAGAUUGGGUAUGUAGUGUUGAAUUUAGAGUGUAAGCUUUAUUUUAUGAACCAAUAUCCCUAUUUAGAAGUCUCAUACUAUAUUCUGUCUUUUUAAAUCACAUUCUUCCAAUGGCUGAGAUUCCCUGUGUGUUCAGUGGCCAUUCUUGCAGCAACAGUGUUCAAUCUAAAAUUAGGUUAAUUUCUCAUGAUGCUCUAAUAUAUAUGAUGUUGUAAUUAUAUUGGUUCUGACUCUAUUAAUUUAAAUUUUAUGAUAAAUUUAAGUGAUGUGAUAUGGACCUUGGCACUAACUGUAAAAGCCAAGAAAAUGAAUGGGUAAAAAAACAACCCUGAGAAACAUAUUAACUCUUAAAUUUAAGAAAACAAUCUAUUUUCAACCUUUGGACACUUUUUUGUCAGCAAAAUCCAUGUUUAUUGACUGGGGAGCAUUCCAGUGAGUUAUUCUAGAUAAAUGAAAAUAAUAAAUUUGUAAUUAAAAUACUACAGUAUUCUUUCAUUUGUUUGCAUAGCUCUUUUCCUGUAUAGCAUGAUGUAAUACAGACUAGAGAGCAUAUUUUUAUUCAGGUAUAUUUUCAGUAAAACAUAAUAUUGAAAUUUAAAAUGACUAACCUUAAGUCAUUUUAAUUUACCUUGACUUUAAAAGGUCAUUUUUAGAUUUUUUUAGUAGCUCUAGGUACUAACUUUACCAUGUGACUAAAUUGCUUCUGAAUUUUUAAAAACUAUGUUUCAUUUUUAAAGGCUUAUUUUUAAGUGGAUUAUCAUGCAAAGUUAUAGCUCAAUUACUUUCCCAAAGUUAGUAGUAGUUAUUUCAUUAACAUGUGUGUGUGUAUUAACCAGUGUGCUGAAGAAACUGUCAAUUUGUCCUGCCUAAGUAUGAAGGCAAAGCUUUGAAAAUGGUGUAGGAUGACCUGAACUUCAAUUAAGACAAAUAUUCUGUACUUUGUCAAGUUGUUGCAGUGUUAGGGAUGAGAGCCUCAGAAAAGUUUUACUGACAAGGUAGAGCUAAAAUUUCAGUGGGCAACUGGGCCAAGAAUGGCCUCAGGCUUAUUCCUUUAAUAAACAGUGGCCACAACCUUGUAGGUGCUGCAAUUCCAUAAUAGUUAGUAUGGUAAAUCUCUUGUUUUAGAAAAAUUUUGCUGCUUAAAGCUUUGCUUUUACCAGCCAAUUUUUGAUCAUUGACACUAGUUUCUUACUCUGUCUAGAAUCAGUUUACCUGGUUUUGCCAUCAGAUGAAGUAGCUGAUUAAGAACAAAAUUGUUGAAUUUGUAAAUGAUAAUUCUAGUAGAAAUGGAAAGCUUUGGAUAGCUAAUUUGGAGUGCAAAUAACAGAAUAAAUGUUAUUCAUUCAUGUAUUCAUUCAACAAACAUGUUUGAGAAUUCACUUUGUAAAAGCCACAGCCAGUGGGCUUCAUUUAUGCUUUGGAUAUAUUCGGUUUGAAAAUCUUCAUAGUAUCGCCUCUUUGUUAAUCUCCUGUGUCUUUUACUUGGAAUGACAUUAUUAUUUGUAACACAAACCUGUUCUAAUACCACGUAGGUAUAUAUACUGUGUGAAGUCAAGAAUACUAAGUUGGUAAAAUGCUCUAGAAAAUAUACAUUUAAAUCUGAGUAUCUAAUGCCUCAAGCAAAUUUGCUAGCAUUUCAGAUGAAUAUAUAUUUUUGUAACUGCCAAGUAAAUAAGUAGAAUAUAGCUUUUUGUUUAAAAAUAUUUUUAUAAGUAUUCAUCAUACAGUAUUCAUUAUUUUGAACAUUUAAAUAUCAGAUUGGUUCUAUAAAUAGUGAUUCUUCUGAAUAUAUCCAUAUUUAACAUUACAUAACACCCAAAAUGUAAUGACAAAUGUCAUCUGAAUGUGUUAUUAGAGUAGUCUGGGUUUUUUUCCUUUGUAAAAUAUACAUGUAACAUAGUUUCAGUCACUCGGUAUUUUAUGUAUGGUUAAAACAGAUCAAGUGUGUUAUGUGUUUUAUAUCAUGUAUUUUUGUCUGCAUAAAAUACUAGAAUAGUAACAUUGUACCAUAAAUGUCAAAAAUAAUAAAGUGAAAUGUAGUAUGACCA